GGGAACAUGAGAGCCAGACCAAAGCUCAGAGGAACCAGCCUGGACCUCCACCCAGCUCUGUGUCCUGUAAGAGUGACUGGUCUAAAGAGAGAGGUCAGAGGUCACAGUCUGCAGGAUCCAGCUGUCCGUCU
This is a non-coding RNA of Maylandia zebra (zebra mbuna), 131 nucleotides long. The record is from RefSeq and is a predicted model, not a curated record. NCBI's taxonomy places the organism in Eukaryota, Metazoa, Chordata, Actinopteri, Cichliformes, Cichlidae.